This 136-nucleotide ribosomal RNA is filed under the name Helianthus annuus (common sunflower). Lineage: Eukaryota; Viridiplantae; Streptophyta; Magnoliopsida; Asterales; Asteraceae. The record is from RNAcentral.
GUAGGUUGGUAUAACAAGGUACAGGUUUGUUCUCGAUCCUCCGAGAGGGACCUACAAAAACUCCACAAUUAAGCGUAUUCAAGUGGAAGUAGUACUAGGAUGGGUGACCUCCUAGAAAGUCUCCAUUCGGGCAACC